CUGGACCGCCAGCAACAAAGACACUCUAUUUUCAUUAAAGUGGUACCGUAGGGUGUCCAGAUGCUGGAUUUCUAUUAAAGGAGUGGCAAUGGAAUCAGAGGUAAAAAAUUUAUAAUUUUUAUGUAAUUUUAAAUAAUACCAGCCUCUUUUAAAUUGUACAAUUUUUUAUAUCUAUUGCAGGAGAUGGUCUUGAGCAUAUGUAUGCUAUUGCUACCAACUCGACCGGUCUUGAGCAUAUGUAUGCUAUUGCUACCAACUCGACCACUGGGAGCAUGACGGCUAUUUGCGACCUUAUACAGUCCGUAUCUUUUUGUACGAUGGAAGAGAGACAACAUACACAGUUGCCAGCUCCACAUCCAGCACCUCCUAGCACAGCUGACUCAGAUGACCCACCUAUUCUAGAGUCAGUUUCACGUGGCACUAGGAGUAGGAGUCGUGGUCAUACUAGGGGUCGUAGAAGC
This 461-nucleotide long non-coding RNA is filed under the name Manihot esculenta (cassava). RNAcentral describes it as "long non-coding RNA (MESC_LNC003214)". The record is from RNAcentral. Lineage: Eukaryota; Viridiplantae; Streptophyta; Magnoliopsida; Malpighiales; Euphorbiaceae.